Molecule: ribosomal RNA, 253 nt
Filed under: uncultured bacterium
Lineage: Bacteria
Description: partial 16S ribosomal RNA
Rfam family: Bacterial small subunit ribosomal RNA
Source: RNAcentral
UACAGAGGUCUCAAGCGUUGUUCGGGUUCAUUGGGCGUAAAGGGUGCGUAGGUGGCGCUGUAAGUCAGGUGUGAAAUUUCGGAGCUUAACUCCGAAACUGCAUUUGAUACUACGGUGCUUGAGGACUGGAGAGGAGACUGGAAUUCACGGUGUAGCAGUGAAAUGCGUAGAGAUCGUGAGGAAGACCAGUGGCGAAGGCGGGUCUCUGGACAGUUCCUGACACUGAGGCACGAAGGCCAGGGGAGCAAACGGG